UUAAGCGACUAAGCGUACACGGUGGAUGCCCUGGCAGUCAGAGGCGAUGAAGGACGUGCUAAUCUGCGAAAAGCGUCGGUAAGGUGAUAUGAACCGUUAUAACCGGCGAUGUCCGAAUGGGGAAACCCAGUGCAAUUCGUUGCACUAUCGUUAACUGAAUACAUAGGUUAACGAGGCGAACCGGGGGAACUGAAACAUCUAAGUACCCCGAGGAAAAGAAAUCAACCGAGAUUCCCCCAGUAGCGGCGAGCGAACGGGGAGCAGCCCAGAGUCUGAAUCAGCUUGUGUGUUAGUGGAACGGUCUGGAAAGUCCGACGGUACAGGGUGAUAGUCCCGUACACCAAAAUGCACAGGCUGUGAACUCGAAGAGUAGGGCGGGACACGUGGUAUCCUGUCUGAAUAUGGGGGGACCAUCCUCCAAGGCUAAAUACUCCUGACUGACCGAUAGUGAACCAGUACCGUGAGGGAAAGGCGAAAAGAACCCCGGCGAGGGGAGUGAAAAAGAACCUGAAACCGUGUACGUACAAGCAGUGGGAGCACCUUCGGGUGUGACUGCGUACCUUUUGUAUAAUGGGUCAGCGACUUAUAUUCUGUAGCAAGGUUAACCGUAUAGGGGAGCCGCAGGGAAACCGAGUCUUAACUGGGCGUUAAGUUGCAGGGUAUAGACCCGAAACCCGGUGAUCUAGCCAUGGGCAGGUUGAAGGUUGGGUAACACUAACUGGAGGACCGAACCGACUAAUGUUGAAAAAUUAGCGGAUGACUUGUGGCUGGGGGUGAAAGGCCAAUCAAACCGGGAGAUAGCUGGUUCUCCCCGAAAGCUAUUUAGGUAGCGCCUCGUGAAUUCAUCUUCGGGGGUAGAGCACUGUUUCGGCUAGGGGGUCAUCCCGACUUACCAACCCGAUGCAAACUACGAAUACCGAAGAAUGUUAUCACGGGAGACACACGGCGGGUGCUAACGUCCGUCGUGAAGAGGGAAACAACCCAGACCGCCAGCUAAGGUCCCAAAGUCAUGGUUAAGUGGGAAACGAUGUGGGAAGGCACAGACAGCCAGGAUGUUGGCUUAGAAGCAGCCAUCAUUUAAAGAAAGCGUAAUAGCUCACUGGUCGAGUCGGCCUGCGCGGAAGAUGUAACGGGGCUAAACCAUGCACCGAAGCUGCGGCAGCGACACUAUGUGUUGUUGGGUAGGGGAGCGUUCUGUAAGCCUGCGAAGGUGNUGCUGGAGGUAUCAGAAGUGCGAAUGCUGACAUAAGUAACGAUAAAGCGGGUGAAAAGCCCGCUCGCCGGAAGACCAAGGGUUCCUGUCCAACGUUAAUCGGGGCAGGGUGAGUCGACCCCUAAGGCGAGGCCGAAAGGCGUAGUCGAUGGGAAACAGGUUAAUAUUCCUGUACUUGGUGUUACUGCGAAGGGGGGACGGAGAAGGCUAUGUUAGCCGGGCGACGGUUGUCCCGGUUUAAGCAUGUAGGCUGAUUGUCCAGGCAAAUCCGGAUAAUCAAGGCUGAGGUGUGAUGACGAGGCACUACGGUGCUGAAGUAACAAAUGCCCUGCUUCCAGGAAAAGCCUCUAAGCAUCAGGUAACAUUAAAUCGUACCCCAAACCGACACAGGUGGUCAGGUAGAGAAUACCAAGGCGCUUGAGAGAACUCGGGUGAAGGAACUAGGCAAAAUGGUGCCGUAACUUCGGGAGAAGGCACGCUGGUGUGUAGGUGAAGUCCCUGCGGAUGGAGCUGAGACCAGUCGAAGAUACCAGCUGGCUGCAACUGUUUAUUAAAAACACAGCACUGUGCAAACACGAAAGUGGACGUAUACGGUGUGACGCCUGCCCGGUGCCGGAAGGUUAAUUGAUGGGGUUAUCCGUAAGGAGAAGCUCUUGAUCGAAGCCCCGGUAAACGGCGGCCGUAACUAUAACGGUCCUAAGGUAGCGAAAUUCCUUGUCGGGUAAGUUCCGACCUGCACGAAUGGCGUAAUGAUGGCCAGGCUGUCUCCACCCGAGACUCAGUGAAAUUGAACUCGCUGUGAAGAUGCAGUGUACCCGCGGCAAGACGGAAAGACCCCGUGAACCUUUACUAUAGCUUGACACUGAACAUUGAGCCUUGAUGUGUAGGAUAGGUGGGAGGCUUUGAAGCGUGGACGCCAGUCUGCGUGGAGCCAACCUUGAAAUACCACCCUUUAAUGUUUGAUGUUCUAACGUUGGCCCCUGACCGGGGUUGCGGACAGUGUCUGGUGGGUAGUUUGACUGGGGCGGUCUCCUCCCAAAGCGUAACGGAGGAGCACGAAGGUUAGCUAAUCCUGGUCGGACAUCAGGAGGUUAGUGCAAUGGCAUAAGCUAGCUUGACUGCGAGCGUGACGGCGCGAGCAGGUGCGAAAGCAGGUCAUAGUGAUCCGGUGGUUCUGAAUGGAAGGGCCAUCGCUCAACGGAUAAAAGGUACUCCGGGGAUAACAGGCUGAUACCGCCCAAGAGUUCAUAUCGACGGCGGUGUUUGGCACCUCGAUGUCGGCUCAUCACAUCCUGGGGCUGAAGUAGGUCCCAAGGGUAUGGCUGUUCGCCAUUUAAAGUGGUACGCGAGCUGGGUUUAGAACGUCGUGAGACAGUUCGGUCCCUAUCUGCCGUGGGCGCUGGAGAAUUGAGGGGGGCUGCUCCUAGUACGAGAGGACCGGAGUGGACGCAUCACUGGUGUUCGGGUUGUCAUGCCAAUGGCACUGCCCGGUAGCUAAAUGCGGAAGAGAUAAGUGCUGAAAGCAUCUAAGCACGAAACUUGCCCCGAGAUGAGUUCUCCCUGAGACUUUAAGUCUCCUGAAGGAACGUUGAAGACGACGACGUUGAUAGGCCGGGUGUGUAAGCGCAGCGAUGCGUUGAGCUAACCGGUACUAAUGAACCGUGAGGCUUAACCUU
Molecule: ribosomal RNA, 2889 nt
Filed under: Klebsiella pneumoniae
Lineage: Bacteria; Pseudomonadati; Pseudomonadota; Gammaproteobacteria; Enterobacterales; Enterobacteriaceae
Description: bacterial LSU rRNA
Rfam family: Bacterial large subunit ribosomal RNA
Source: RNAcentral